This 396-nucleotide long non-coding RNA is filed under the name Capsella rubella. RNAcentral's name for it is "long non-coding RNA (CRUB_LNC000997)". The record is from RNAcentral. Lineage: Eukaryota; Viridiplantae; Streptophyta; Magnoliopsida; Brassicales; Brassicaceae.
GAUGAAUCAUGAAGACGAAUUUUGCAACUAAGAAUCAGUUUCAAAACACGAAUUUAAUGAUUUGAGCUCAUAAAGUUUCGAACUUUACCAGAACAAUGGCGUGUGAACAAGAAACCCAUCAAGCGAAGCAUGAUCACAAUAUCUAACAAACAUGAAAAAAAUCAUAAAAUUGGACCAACCUGAUCAUAUAUGUAAAAGAUGUAACUUUAAGCUGUGACAGAAGUCGUGGCUUCGUCAAAAUGACAUCUUGAAGACGAAGAAGCACAACAAAGUUCGUGGCUUCGUGCUCCCAAUUCCACAGACAUUCCACAGAAUCUUAUGGACCUUCUUAUAUUAAUACUUAGUACUUUGAUACCAAAAAAAAAAAAAGACAAAAUUAAGAAAACUUGGUCAUGC